Molecule: long non-coding RNA, 330 nt
Filed under: Anser cygnoides (Swan goose)
Lineage: Eukaryota; Metazoa; Chordata; Aves; Anseriformes; Anatidae
Description: lncRNA (ENSACDG00005013120.1)
Source: RNAcentral
UAUAUUAACAAAUUCAUACUGUAAAUAGUAGUAAGGAGAGACAUCACAGCACAAAGACUUCAGUCUUCUGCCCAGCUGCUGGAAAAUACAUAGAGUGAGACAGAGAGAGAAUGGGCAGCAAACUGACCUGCUCCUGAGAUGUGCUGCUCAAAUAGUCUCUCUUCAGCUUGCCAAUUUGGAGAUAUUGCCCCUUCUGCUAUGUGUGUGGCAUUGAAGAAAUAUUUGAAAUGAAGGACUUUGGGGGCCACUAGAUUCUGACAUCUGGAAGAAGCAAUGCUUUAGAAAAAGACUGAUAAUAAAAAUGUUUUGAGGGUGCCUACUUAAAAAUUC